GUGAGACUCCUUCUAAAAAGAAAAAAUGCCUAGAAGUCACAGCAACUCCAUGCAAUAAGUGGUUCUUGAUUGGAUCUGUGUUUGAACAAACCAACUGUAUGAUCCUGUAGACUAACUGGGGGAAAUUUAAAUGUGAUUUGGGUAUUAGAUGAUAUUAGGGAAAUUUUUUGCUCAUUCUCUUACAUGUGAUAAUGGCAUUGCGUUUAUGUAGGUAAAUGUCAUUUUUUUUAAACAAUUCACAUUGAAAAGUCACAAUGCCUGUAAUUUACCUUAAAAUACUUUAGUCAAAAAAAGCAAAUGGAGAAAAAUGUUAACAACUAUGAAAUCUAGGUUCAUUCUCUUUUCUGUUCUGCUUGAAGUUUUUUAUAAUAAAAAGAAAAACCCCCAAACAGAAGUUAAGGAUCAUUGUAAUUACAUACUGGGUUUUAUUGAACAAAAGUUGAAAUGUUUUCAUGUUUUUUUAUUUUAUUUUUCAAAAUAAACUCUAAAUAUAAGCUUUUCUCCCCACAGUUGCAUGUGGAUUACAGUUCCUGCUUUAAGCAGACUUACCUUUAGUGGACUACUUUUUUGGUGCCAGUAUCUUUAGAUAACAUGGAGCCUGUAUUCCUGGACUGGCGCUGCUGGCCCAUUUCCCUGGUGACUCACUCAUGCCAUCUCUCAUCACAGACGCUGAGUUAUACUGGGUCACCGAGCAGGGCUCCUGGACUUCCUGUCUCCCAGAGGGGAUAACGCUGGUCUCGCAGGAGUUAGUGAGGGUUACAUGCACUGGUGUUGUCAGCCCCACAGCAGCCUCAGGCUGGGUCCUGACUAGCCACUGAUGGAGGUGUCUCCAUUGCAGAGAGAGGAUGGGGGUGCCACACCUCCAGAGCUUCCUUUGGCUCUCAGGUUCACUGUGCAGGCCCUUUGCAAACAAAAGUCACUGGAGGAAUUUCUAAGAGGAGAUUAACUAGGGGUUGAGGGGUCUGGACAGCCAGGGUGGUGGGUGAGGUGGCGGGCAGUACAACUGCGAGAAGCCAGUUGGUCUGAGCAUAGAGAAGAGAAUGGAGUACUGGAAGAUAUUAUUUUGUUGCAUAAAUCCUUUAACUUCUAAGCAA
Long non-coding RNA from Sapajus apella (tufted capuchin), 1094 nucleotides. RefSeq lists it as uncharacterized. Lineage: Eukaryota; Metazoa; Chordata; Mammalia; Primates; Cebidae. The record is from RefSeq and is a predicted model, not a curated record. The transcript has 2 exons.